Molecule: long non-coding RNA, 1182 nt
Organism: Phodopus roborovskii (desert hamster)
Lineage: Eukaryota; Metazoa; Chordata; Mammalia; Rodentia; Cricetidae
Exons: 5
Source: RefSeq, a predicted model, not a curated record
UUAUACAACUGCCACUCGGAUUCCACCGGUGUGUAGGCGGGGAAAGAGGAGGAGUAAAGACUGUUUACCAACCAAGUACACAGCAGCCCUAUCUAAGAACCAGGAAUUGAGGGGUCCCUAGCUUUGAAUCAGGGGUGCACUGGUUCUCUGGGAUCCGCCUCAAGACUUUUCCGCCUAUCUAGGCGAUAACCUCUCAAAAAUCGGAGCCAGUCUAGCGUCCAGGCCCAGGUUUGAGGCCAUGAUGACUCAACGCAGCAUCCCCUCCCGGUCUCCGCCUACCCUCAAUCAAUCUCAGCCAGGCACUUUGGGCUUCAGGAUUCCCAGUACUUAGUUGGUGGGUAAAGGGGCUCAUCCCCUUUCCCGCAUUCCAGCAGGCUGAACCUCCCUUCCUCCCAGUCUUGUGGAGUGCAGGACCUCCCGCCGGGAUCCUGCUCUUGGAAGGUUUAGAAGGAUGUAAUCUCCAGACCUGGAAUUUAAGACGCAAGAACCAGCCAGCAAAUGUGGCAGCCUGACUCUCGACCAAGACCCAAAUUCAUUCACCUGCCGAGCGUCUGGUGAAGCCCCUGCCCUGAGCCUGGUGACUGGUGCUUCCGCUAGAGGCCCAGGUCAAGGCAGCCGCAAGACCUUCAAGAUAUCCAGGCCCGAACCAUGCCAUAGCCAUGUUCCAUUUCCUUCCAGCUAGGAUUUUCAUUUUAUCCUUCUCCUCCAGUAAGGCUGGGACCUGCUCACAUCCCUCUACACCCCAAGAGCAUGCUCUUCAAUGGAAGGUGUGUUGAAGUGAGAUGUAUCACUGGAGAUGCAGGGGAAGAUGGUGGCUGCAGGAGAAAUAACCAGUGCUAUCGUUAUCUCCUGAAAAGGAGAGGCCGGUGGAGCUGAGAAGACAAGAAAAUUACUCACAGCCGAGCAGAGAGACAGAUACAUGCUUACAUGAGCACUGUGGGACUGCCAUCUAGAGAGUCAAGUGACAUCUGCCUGGGCAAAUGAGGUUUGCCUAAGAGACUCUUGCACAGUCAAGAAGAAUCACCUGGGAAGGAAAUGAAGAAGGAGCUAUCACAGGAUGAACACAGGGAAGAUGAUGCUUUGGAAUGCCUGCUACUGGAUUCAGCUCUUACUGGGUACCAGACUCCAUGUUAAAUGUUUUACAACAGUCAUUAAGUAAGUACUAACAAAAUCACAUGACAU